RNAcentral lists this ribosomal RNA (406 nucleotides) under uncultured bacterium. RNAcentral describes it as "partial 16S ribosomal RNA". It matches the Rfam family "Bacterial small subunit ribosomal RNA", at positions 29 to 526 of the family's 1533-position model. The record is from RNAcentral.
AUUGAACGCUGGCGGCAGGCCUAACACAUGCAAGUCGAACGAGUGGCGGACGGGUGAGUAAUGUCUGGGAAACUGCCUGAUGGAGGGGGAUAAAUACUGGAAACGGUAGCUAAUACCGCAUACCAUCGGAUGUGCCCAGAUGGGAUUAGCUAGUAGGUGGGGUAAAGGCUCACCUAGGCGAGGAUCCCUAGCUGGUCUGAGAGGAUGAAUAGCCAAACUGGCACGGAGACACGGUCCAGACUCCUACGGGGAGCAGGAGUGGGGAAGAUUGCACAAUGGGCGCAAGCUCGAUGCAGCCAUGCCGCGUGUAUGAAGAAGGCCUUCGGGUUGUAAAGGACUUUCAGCGGGGAGGCGUUACCCGCAGGAGAAGCACCGGCUAACACCGUGCGAGCAGCCGCGGUAAUAC